CUCCCCUCCCGACCUCUCCAGAAGCGAACAGAGCAGCUCUCCUCUUCCUCCCCGUCUCUUCCCUUUCCCUCCCUCUCUCUUCCUCCCGACCUCUCCAGAGACAGACAGGGCGGCGCCGCCGAGGGCCCAUGGCCUCUCCGUGCGCCGCCUCUCUCCCUCUCCUGAUGUGGCGCGGCACCGGCAGGCCCCCAAGGUGGCGCGACAGCGAGGCAGCGCGUCGUCAGUGCAAGCAGCCGCCACCAGGAGAUAAUAGGCCCAGUGUGGCCGCAAAUCAUGAGUUCCGGUGGUAGCACGACCGGCACAGAGCAGAAGCGCUGACUAGAGGUUGUCAUGAUCUUCUUCGUUCACCAUAGGGUUUGCCAUUGUCCUGAUGCUGAGGGUUCGUCACUCCUCCAUCUCAAAUUUCACUUAUUUGCUGUCCGCAUUUGAUUUAUUUUUUUAAGUCAUGACAGCUACUAUAUGAGCUAAGCCUAAUACAAUCAAUGGGGGACACAAAUUCUUUUUUAACUAGCACUAGAUCUACAAAAAUACCGAAUAUAUCUCUAGAUAGGUCCUCAAUUUCUCGUGCUCUGUAAUUUUGCUAUUACACUUUCAGUGUUAACCAUACUUAUUUCCUAUGCCAGAAUCCUUGGAGGUGUGGAUAACAAUACCUGUAAUGUUCUGUAUCUGCGUAUUGAAAAAAAAAAUUGCAGGUUAUGUUCAGCAUUUUAUUAAGAGGAAAAAGGAAUACUGUCCUACUCCCAUGUCUCAGUUUAAAUUAUUUAUCAGCGAAAGUAAUGGUUUAAACUUUUUUAAAAUUACCGGUGUUCUGAUGGUGUUUGACUGAUUUUAUAACUUUUCCACAUCAGGUCAAAUGGUACCUUUAGUAGAAUACUAUAUUAAUGAAAAAUUUGAUUGCAGUAUAUACAUUUUCAUGCCAUAUUGCCAUACAUCAAUGAACUUUUUUCUUUUAUGAAUUAUCAUUGAAGGUAAAGAGUUAUUGCAUGCCAUUCUUCAUGGAGUAUGUUGUUUCUGCCAAAUAAUUUGAUCGUUCACAGCCUCCUGGACUGAAGGAGAAACAAACAUGCUGCACAGAGAAGGGAGGAUGCCAACGAGAGCCCAUUUCAUGGAUAGAUGGGGUUCAAGUAGGCCGUUCUCCGCAAUACAAGAUUGAGCGCAAGUUGGGAAGGUGGUUUUGGGCAAGUAUACGCUGCCAGAAGGAUUACAGGGGGAACAUAGCACACUGGACCUGAUGCUUAUGAGGCCUGCUGCCCAUGUUGAAGGAGGCCAUAUACACGAAGGAUCAUAGGCCAUGCUUCCUGAUGACACAUGUUUAAAGUGUGCAUACGAAGAAAUCCUCAGGGCAAGCUGGUUGUAGACACGAUGAUGAUCAGUUGUGUCGUCUACUCCCUGACUGCAACACACAUGUGCAUUUAUAGUUCAAUUUCCAUGGCUGCUCUACCACAGUUGCUCAUCAUACUCCCUUGACUGCAACGUAUAGAGGUUCUUCUACUCAAUCUAAUAUCUCUUGGAGUCCUGCUCCAUGAAAGGUACGAAUCUAAUUCAGGAUAAUUGUGCUCCAUGCCUUCAUUCCUCCUAACACUUCUUUUAUAUAUAAUAAUGUUGCAGUGAAGCUUGCUUCUUUUAGAAAACAAUGGUAAAAUUUAAUGCUUUAUUACUAAUAAGUUAUGAAGUUGAUUAGUUGAUUGAUCAGUGUGUGUAUCAUUCACUUAUAUAUGAUACUAUCUACUUACACUUAUUAGUUCAUUGAAAAUAUAAAAAACCUGUUCAUUUCCAGUUUUCCAACUCCUAAUGGUUACAUCCAGAUACGAUUCAGUUCUUUUUUUUUCAAACUGAAUAAUUAAUACAGGUACAAGCUAAAAUUACAAAUCUUACCAAUGUUUCAGCAUGAGCACUAUUUCUUAGCUUGCCUUCCAAAAAAAUGAGCUGGUCAAUUUAAGGUUGUGUACCAAGAAAAAAGAGCUGGUCAAUUUAAGGUUGUGUAUUGCCUGCGAGUGUUUGUUCUAAUUCUUUGGCUAAGAACGUUGAUUUCAGUGUACUGUGUUCCUUAAGAUUGCCGGUCUGAAUUAUUUUUUCUUGGUAGCAAAGACCUUGUUACUUUCUGUGUUAAUCACUAGAUUUAUACAUGAGUGCCAACAUUAACUAUACAUGAGUGCCAAAAUUAACCUUUUGUUCUGCAGAGCAUCUUGUUCCCUUGCAUAGGGUGAUAAAAAAGUUAUAUUCGCCUGGCUAUCUGAAGCCUCUAAUAUAACUAACUCCCGACAAAAAAGGGUGACCUGUUUAAAUAUUUCAAAAACAAUGUAUAUUAUGUUGUUAUCUCCAGUACACUUAGAAACUACUACUAUUGUUUUGUGUCAUGUGAUUAACUAUGUGCCUCUCUAUUUGAACAGUUCUUAACUCCACACCAGGAACCAAACUUUUGGCUCUAUAUACUUGGCUACAACUUUUAUCUAAUUUCCAGUCUAUGAACUAAACAUAUAUUACGUAUGUGUAACAGUCAUAUUCUCUCGAUCUUCUAUUGCAGUCCGGUCAUUACCAUAAAUUAAGUUGAUAGACACCGGUUCUACGAAGAAGAUAUUUGAAGAUCUGAUUAUUUUUUUCAUUAUUUUUUAUGUCAACUUUUCCUUAUUUAUUGAACCUUUUAUAGACACACAACUACCGGUAUAAAAACGCGUAAAAUGUAAUAUACAUGUUCUAGAUAUAUAUAUCUACCUCUUUGAGCUCCUAUUAUUACCAACAUGUUUUUUC
Sorghum bicolor (sorghum) is the source of this 2748-nucleotide long non-coding RNA. RefSeq lists it as uncharacterized. The transcript has 5 exons. The record is from RefSeq and is a predicted model, not a curated record. NCBI's taxonomy places the organism in Eukaryota, Viridiplantae, Streptophyta, Magnoliopsida, Poales, Poaceae.